AUUGAAUGCUGGCGGCAGGCCUAACACAUGCAAGUCGAGCGGCAGCGGAAAGUAGCUUGCUACUUUGCCGGCGAGCGGCGGACGGGUGAGUAAUGUCUGGGAAACUGCCUGAUGGAGGGGGAUAACUACUGGAAACGGUGGCUAAUACCGCAUAACGUCGCAAGACCAAAGUGGGGGACCUUCGGGCCUCACGCCAUCGGAUGUGCCCAGAUGGGAUUAGCUAGUAGGUGGGGUAAUGGCUCACCUAGGCGACGAUCCCUAGCUGGUCUGAGAGGAUGACCAGCCACACUGGAACUGAGACACGGUCCAGACUCCUACGGGAGGCAGCAGUGGGGAAUAUUGCACAAUGGGCGCAAGCCUGAUGCAGCCAUGCCGCGUGUGUGAAGAAGGCCUUCGGGUUGUAAAGCACUUUCAGCGAGGAGGAAGGCAUCACACUUAAUACGUGUGGUGAUUGACGUUACUCGCAGAAGAAGCACCGGCUAACUCCGUGCCAGCAGCCGCGGUAAUACGGAGGGUGCAAGCGUUAAUCGGANNUACUGGGCGUAAAGCGCACGCAGGCGGUUUGUUAAGUCANAUGUGAAAUCCCCGCGCUUAACGUGGGAACUGCAUUUGAAACUGGCAAGCUAGAGUCUNGUAGAGGGGGGUAGAAUUCC
This 653-nucleotide ribosomal RNA is filed under the name uncultured prokaryote. Its description in RNAcentral is "bacterial SSU rRNA". It matches the Rfam family "Bacterial small subunit ribosomal RNA", at positions 28 to 670 of the family's 1533-position model. The record is from RNAcentral.